UCCAUCCAUUCAUGGUUUACCCCAU
Molecule: non-coding RNA, 25 nt
Filed under: Mus musculus (house mouse)
Lineage: Eukaryota; Metazoa; Chordata; Mammalia; Rodentia; Muridae
Source: RNAcentral